Molecule: ribosomal RNA, 242 nt
Filed under: Sarcophaga antilope
Lineage: Eukaryota; Metazoa; Arthropoda; Insecta; Diptera; Sarcophagidae
Description: partial 28S ribosomal RNA
Rfam family: Eukaryotic large subunit ribosomal RNA
Source: RNAcentral
AAUGUGAGAUGCAGUGUAUGGAAUGUCAAAUUUCUAGUAUGAGAAAUUAACGAUUUAAGUCCUUCUUAAAUGAGGCCAUUUACCCACAGAGGGUGSYAGGCCCGUAUAMCGUUAAUGAUUACUAGAUGGCAUUUCCAAAGAGUCGUGUUGCUUGAUAGUGCAGCACUAAGUGGGUGGUAAACUCCAUCUAAAACUAAAUAUAACCAUGAGACCGAUAGUAAACAAGUACCGUGAGGGAAAGU